CAGCCGCCGCGGUAAUACGUAGGUCCCGAGCGUUGUCCGGAUUUAUUGGGCGUAAAGGGAGCGCAGGCGGUUUAGUAAGUCUGGAGUUAAAGGCAUUGGCUCAACCAAUGUAUGCUUUGGAAACUGUUUGACUUGAGUGCAGAAGGGGAGGGUGGAAUUCCAUGUGUAGCGGAGAAAUGCGUAGAUAUAUGGAGGAACACCGGUGGCGAAAGCGGCUCUCUGGCUUGUAACUGACGCUGAGGCUCGAAAGCGUGGGGAGCAAACAGGAUUAGAUACCCCCGUAGUCCCUGUCUCUUAUACA
RNAcentral lists this ribosomal RNA (301 nucleotides) under uncultured bacterium. Its description in RNAcentral is "partial 16S ribosomal RNA". It matches the Rfam family "Bacterial small subunit ribosomal RNA", at positions 509 to 808 of the family's 1533-position model. The record is from RNAcentral.